This 235-nucleotide long non-coding RNA is filed under the name Phoenix dactylifera (date palm). RNAcentral's name for it is "long non-coding RNA (PDAC_LNC013617)". The record is from RNAcentral. Lineage: Eukaryota; Viridiplantae; Streptophyta; Magnoliopsida; Arecales; Arecaceae.
CGGAGAGGAUAAGCUUUGUUCUCAGGGGAUCCGGAAGUUGAUGAUGUUGGUUCAAUGCGGUGGAGAUGAAGAUAAGCGUGAGGGAAAAUCUGGGAAGGAUUCGGAAGAGGAGGAAGGUUGGAUUCGGGAUGAGCGUGGGAUUGUUGCGGAUGCAGGGGAUGCGGAUAGCGAGCUCUUCCGUGAUGCUCGGGGAGAAGGAUUUGCUCGGGUUGGACUCUGUUUUGUUAGACUGGGA